CGUUCGCGGCCCUCGAGGGUUCUCUCUCGGGUGGUAGGGGUAACACCCUCACGCGUCGCAUUUCUGAAUCCUUUUUUUACGAGCACCUUUCGUUCUCCUUCGGUGGGGCAACCUGCCGCUGGAACUUAACAAAACCUUUUUUUGCAUCUAGCAUUACCUGUUCUGAUACAAACAAUCGUUACAACUUUCAACAAUGGAUCUCUUGGCUCUGGCAUCGAUGAAGAACGCAGCGAAAUGCGAUAAGUAGUGUGAAUUGCAGAAUUCAGUGAAUCAUCGAAUCUUUGAACGCACAUUGCGCCCCUUGGUAUUCCAUGGGGCAUGCCUGUUCGAGCGUCAUCUACACCCUCAAGCUCUGCUUGGUGUUGGGCGUCUGUCCCGCCUCUGUGCGUGGACUCGCCCCAAAUGCAUUGGCAGCGGUCCUUGCCUCCUCUCGCGCAGCACAAUUGCGUUUCUUGAGGUGUGCGGCUCGCAUCCACAAAGCAACCAUCGUCUUUGACCUCGGAUCAGGUAGGGAUACCCGCUGAACUUAAGCAUAUCAAUAAGCGGAGGAAAAGAAACCAACAGGGAUUGCCCUAGUAACGGCGAGUGAAGCGGCAACAGCUCAAAUUUGAAAUCUGGCUCUCUUUGGGGGUCCGAGUUGUAAUUUGCAGAGGAUGCUUUGGUAUUGUCGGCGGUCUAAGUUCCUUGGAACAGGACAUCACAGAGGGUGAGAAUCCCGUACGUGGUCGCCUGCCUUUACCGUGUAAAGCUCCUUCGACGAGUCGAGUUGUUUGGGAAUGCAGCUCUAAAUGGGAGGUAAAUUUCUUCUAAAGCUAAAUACCGGCCAGAGACCGAUAGCGCACAAGUAGAGUGAUCGAAAGAUGAAAAGUACUUUGGAAAGAGAGUCAAAAAGCACGUGAAAUUGUUGAAAGGGAAGCGCUUGCAGCCAGACUUGCCCGCAGUUGCUCACCUAGGCUUUUGCCUGGGGCAUUCUUCUGCGGGCAGGCCAGCAUCAGUUUGGGCGGUUGGAUAAAGGCCUCUGUCACGUAUCUCCCUUCGGGGUGACCUUAUAGGGGAGGCGUAAUGCAACCAGCCCGGA
This 1078-nucleotide ribosomal RNA is filed under the name Dothideomycetes sp. B1a0081EM2CC956. RNAcentral's name for it is "eukaryotic LSU rRNA". The stretch from base 494 to 1078 matches the Rfam family "Eukaryotic large subunit ribosomal RNA", at positions 1 to 588 of the family's 3401-position model. The record is from RNAcentral. Lineage: Eukaryota; Fungi; Ascomycota; Dothideomycetes.